AGAUGCCACAGUUGAGUAGGCAUGUAUUACAUGUCCAUUUCAUGUACCUAAGAUGCGACAAACUUGCAGUGAGAUUUCCAAGCUUUGUACACUUAGCAAGGUAUAUUGUUCACGAUACUGUCACAGUUUUUUGGAAANAAUUUGAAUUCGAAGGCGAUGCAUGAUAAACAUAGUGAAAUUAAGGAACAAAACUAACCGUGCAAGCUUGAUGGGUCUAGAGUGGCAUCAGGGCGCAUGCUCCAGAAAAGCAGUGCAUCGCCCAUUUUUGGUUUUACAGAAACGCCUUUCUUAGCACACUCCGACAUUCCACUCCACCCAGCCACGGAGCUAACAUUUCCCUUGGCUGCUGGAAAGACUGUCUCACCGCCUUCUUCAACAUCUGACCUGCAUUAUUUUGGGAGGGGUGGGUGGGUGGGUGGGCGGCAGUGGGGUGUAGUAGGGAAGUUUAAAAUUUUUUAAAAAAAAAAAAAAAAAAUUUUGGAGGGGUGGGUGGUGGUGGGUUAGCGGCAAAACAGGUCGGGUCGGACCGGACCCAUAACAAACGGGUCGGGUCGGAUCUGGACCCGUCAGGUUUAGGGUCUAAAUGGGUCGGGUCUAGAACCAGAACCAGAACCAUUGCUUAUAGCUCAACGGGUAAUGAACGGUUUUGGUUCUGGUCCGGGUAAAACCCACCCAUUGACAUCCCUAGUUACAAUCAACAUAAAGGUUGAAACCUUUUGAAGUUGAAUUAUUGUAUCGCAAUAUAGUUACUUCAUGUUUAAACACAAACCAACCAAGUAUCGAGUAAAUCAGAUGCCACAGUUGAGUAGGCAUGUAUUACAUGUCCAUUUCAUGUACCUAAGAUGCGACAAACUUGCAGUGAGAUUUCCAAGCUUUGUACACUUAGCAAGGUAUAUUGUUCACGAUACUGUCACAGUUUUUUUGGAAAUUUCACAUUAUUAAUUGAAGAGCCAGAUGGAAGAAGGUGAUACAUUAUAUCAACCACACAUCCGUUAACAAAGUCAAAUACAUCAUGAUCGAAUAGCACAGUUUCUAUCUAUUUGAAAGUGAAUAUU
Molecule: long non-coding RNA, 1055 nt
Filed under: Salvia miltiorrhiza (redroot sage)
Lineage: Eukaryota; Viridiplantae; Streptophyta; Magnoliopsida; Lamiales; Lamiaceae
Description: long non-coding RNA (SMIL_LNC008459)
Source: RNAcentral